Molecule: ribosomal RNA, 253 nt
Filed under: uncultured bacterium
Lineage: Bacteria
Description: partial 16S ribosomal RNA
Rfam family: Bacterial small subunit ribosomal RNA
Source: RNAcentral
UACGUAGGGGGCAAGCGUUGUCCGGAAUCAUUGGGCGUAAAGAGCGUGUAGGCGGUCCGAUAAGUCCGCUCUGAAAGCCCGGGGCUCAACCCCGGGAGGCGGGCGGAUACUGUCGGGCUAGAGUCCGGGAGAGGCAAGUGGAAUUCCUGGUGUAGCGGUGAAAUGCGCAGAUAUCAGGAGGAACACCGAUGGCGAAGGCAGCUUGCUGGGACGGUACUGACGCUGAGACGCGAAAGCGUGGGGAGCAAACAGG